Long non-coding RNA from Girardinichthys multiradiatus, 1418 nucleotides. RefSeq lists it as uncharacterized. The record is from RefSeq and is a predicted model, not a curated record. The transcript is spliced from 3 exons. Lineage: Eukaryota; Metazoa; Chordata; Actinopteri; Cyprinodontiformes; Goodeidae.
CAAACAGGGGCAGCAGCAGAGACACAGAUAAAUAGAUGAGGAUCCGAGCGGGGGAGUUACCAUGAUGACGGCCUGCUGGUUCACAAUCGCCUGCUGCUGCUGGGCCAAAACAGCCUGCUGGUCUUCUGGAGGUGUUGCAGGUGCUACAGCAGCAACAGGAGGCGACAUCACACCUCCCACAGGAAGGACUCUCACAGCUGCGGACACAAGCACAUACAAGCAGCCAACUUCUGUCAGAUUUGAUACCUCCAGGAGGUGGGUGGAUGGAGGACUGCCCCUGCUGUUGCCACUUCCCACCAACUCCCCCGGCUCCCUUCAUCCUGCCCGACAGUCCUGCCACUGAUUCUACUUCCUGAGAGAAGAGACAGGCUUUAAAUGUACGAAAAUUAAAGCUUAAAUAUGCACUUUUUCCCAUCUUUUAUCAUAUGUUUUUAUCACCUCACGUUUAUGGCAUCUCUGUUGUUUAAGUUUUAUUUUUAUAGCUAUAUUUGUGUUUAAGGAGCUCUGACUGUAUGCAAGGAAAGAGGUACUGCCAAAAAGACUCUUUAAUUUUAAAUCCUUUCUAUCGUCACCUUUUUCACCAUUGCAAUAAAUAUAAAAAAAUGUCGUGAUAAAAUUUUAGGUCCAUGUCACUCAUCCCACAUGGGUCCACAACCACAGGCGGGUUGAGGACCCAUGUUUAUUUCUACAUCCUGCGCAAUGUGGGGGUUGUUAAGGGAGGUAAAAAAAAUAUCCAAAGUUAGCUGUUAGAGAACUUCAUCACCUCUCCAUAACAACCAUUAGACACUGUUUAUGUGAAAACCUGAGGGGUGAGCUGCAGAGAGAAUAAGACUGGACUCCAAACAAGCUAGAGCGAUUGUCCAGAGAGGAAGACUAAAGAUCCCUUUCUCUAUAUGCUCCAACCUUGUGAAAUGGUAUUGGAAAAAACUAAGUGCUGUCCUACUGGCAAAAGCAUGCUGUACAAAGUAUUGACAGCAGGGAUGACAGUAAGUGUGCUGCCAGUGAUUUUAUUAAAAAUGAUCAUUGCCAGGGUUCCCACACAUUUAUAAUGAAAAAUGUCUAUAACAUCAUAAAGGACACUUCUCACCCAGGUCACGCUCUGUUUGAUCUGUCACCGUCACGCAGACGCUACAGAUUAAUUAAAGCAAGGACGGGCAGAUUCAACAGCAGUUUUUGUCCAACAGCAAUAGCUAAAUUCAAUACAGCCAGAAUGUAAAGAGGAGAUGCAAUAAUUGGAAAAUGCAAUCAGUAUGAAUGGGUGUACAUGCGUUUUGUUUCCUAUGUUUUUAUUUUAUCUUUUAAAAAUUGCUUAUAUUUGUCUAUUUUACAUAAAUUAUGUAUCGCUCAUGAACAGAUAGCCUUUUUCCUGAAUUUCUUUGUAUUUGUGACACAAACAAUAAAAGAUAUUCUGAUUCUGA